GGCACUACGGUGCUGAAGCAACAAAUGCCCUGCUUCCAGGAAAAGCCUCUAAGCAUCAGGUAACAUCAAAUCGUACCCCAAACCGACACAGGUGGUCAGGUAGAGAAUACCAAGGCGCUUGAGAGAACUCGGGUGAAGGAACUAGGCAAAAUGGUGCCGUAACUUCGGGAGAAGGCACGCUGAUAUGUAGGUGAAGCGACUUGCUCGUGGAGCUGAAAUCAGUCGAAGAUACCAGCUGGCUGCAACUGUUUAUUAAAAACACAGCACUGUGCAAACACGAAAGUGGACGUAUACGGUGUGACGCCUGCCCGGUGCCGGAAGGUUAAUUGAUGGGGUUAGCGCAAGCGAAGCUCUUGAUCGAAGCCCCGGUAAACGGCGGCCGUAACUAUAACGGUCCUAAGGUAGCGAAAUUCCUUGUCGGGUAAGUUCCGACCUGCACGAAUGGCGUAAUGAUGGCCAGGCUGUCUCCACCCGAGACUCAGUGAAAUUGAACUCGCUGUGAAGAUGCAGUGUACCCGCGGCAAGACGGAAAGACCCCGUGAACCUUUACUAUAGCUUGACACUGAACAUUGAGCCUUGAUGUGUAGGAUAGGUGGGAGGCUUUGAAGUGUGGACGCCAGUCUGCAUGGAGCCGACCUUGAAAUACCACCCUUUAAUGUUUGAUGUUCUAACGUGGACCCGUAAUCCGGGUUGCGGACAGUGUCUGGUGGGUAGUUUGACUGGGGCGGUCUCCUCCUAAAGAGUAACGGAGGAGCACGAAGGUUGGCUAAUCCUGGUCGGACAUCAGGAGGUUAGUGCAAUGGCAUAAGCCAGCUUGACUGCGAGCGUGACGGCGCGAGCAGGUGCGAAAGCAGGUCAUAGUGAUCCGGUGGUUCUGAAUGGAAGGGCCAUCGCUCAACGGAUAAAAGGUACUCCGGGGAUAACAGGCUGAUACCGCCCAAGAGUUCAUAUCGACGGCGGUGUUUGGCACCUCGAUGUCGGCUCAUCACAUCCUGGGGCUGAAGUAGGUCCCAAGGGUAUGGCUGUUCGCCAUUUAAAGUGGUACGCGAGCUGGGUUUAGAACGUCGUGAGACAGUUCGGUCCCUAUCUGCCGUGGGCGCUGGAGAACUGAGGGGGGCUGCUCCUAGUACGAGAGGACCGGAGUGGACGCAUCACUGGUGUUCGGGUUGUCAUGCCAAUGGCACUGCCCGGUAGCUAAAUGCGGAAGAGAUAAGUGCUGAAAGCAUCUAAGCACGAAACUUGCCCCGAGAUGAGUUCUCCCUGACUCCUUGAGAGUCCUGAAGGAACGUUGAAGACGACGACGUUGAUAGGCCGGGUGUGUAAGCGCAGCGAUGCGUUGAGCUAACCGGUACUAAUGAACCGUGAGG
RNAcentral lists this ribosomal RNA (1367 nucleotides) under Escherichia coli. RNAcentral's name for it is "partial 23S ribosomal RNA". It matches the Rfam family "Bacterial large subunit ribosomal RNA", at positions 1573 to 2916 of the family's 2925-position model. The record is from RNAcentral. Lineage: Bacteria; Pseudomonadati; Pseudomonadota; Gammaproteobacteria; Enterobacterales; Enterobacteriaceae.